ACUCACCACACACAAGCAGUUUAAAAAUGAGUGCAUCUGUAAGUAUGUAAAACCCCACAUGGGGUGGGGAGGCUGUAGAGAACCUGUAAAUAUCUAUAAAUCUGUAGAAUAUGUACAUUUUUACAGAGCUAAUGAUACAAAAUGGAGGAAUUUUCAGUGUGGUAGAACUGCUUAUGGGUGCACUGUACUUCAUUCCUCAUGUGAAGUAGCAUUUUUGUGGCGAAGCCUUCUCCUGCCUUGACUCCAAGUGAGCCUUUCUCUGAUGCACUUGAGCAACAUUGCCAGGGAGUGUAGCAAGGAUCAGUGGCCCGGUGGACUCUCAUUGUGCCCACGGCUUGCUGGCAACAGUUGAUGUUUCUGUUCAUUAUAAUCUUUUUGGUUAUUCUAGCCCUUCUAGCGGGUGGGGAGCUGUGGAAGUCGGUAUCAGUUGCUUCCUUGUCUUCCUUUCAUUUUGAUGCUCUAAGCCAUGAGUCGAACGAAAAUGAUGUUUGAAUGUAAAUGUCCUGGAGCAGAAUAAAACUCGUCGGCUUGGAUCUGCAGCUUGUGCCGGCCCCGGCCUUGGUCCCUGGUCCCCAGCUGGUAGUGUUGCUUCUCAGCGGGCUUGCAGUGCUCGUCCGCCUCGUGCCCUCCGACCGUGGAUUGGUCGGUUCUUGGGGAGCUCCACUCUCUGGGACCCGGUCCUGCACAGCGAGGAACAUCCUCGUCCACGGUGCUCGACCUGCAGCCCGAGUGAUGCCCAAUGGAAACCCAAGUGGAGAGCUGAAAGACGGUGCUAUUGUCAGACCUGCUUGUUUGCUGAACAAGCACUUAGUUUUGUCAAUAAAUGUCUUUUC
This is a long non-coding RNA of Pygoscelis adeliae (Adelie penguin), 833 nucleotides long. RefSeq lists it as uncharacterized. The transcript is spliced from 2 exons. The record is from RefSeq and is a predicted model, not a curated record. Lineage: Eukaryota; Metazoa; Chordata; Aves; Sphenisciformes; Spheniscidae.